Molecule: long non-coding RNA, 1294 nt
Filed under: Limulus polyphemus (Atlantic horseshoe crab)
Lineage: Eukaryota; Metazoa; Arthropoda; Merostomata; Xiphosura; Limulidae
Description: uncharacterized LOC111087651, transcript variant X3
Source: RNAcentral
AACAAACGCUCUUUAUGAGACUUAUAAAUAACCAAUAACAUCAAAGUCCCAGCUUUAGCUUCAAAUGCUUUAACUUAUAUGUUAAAUAGAGGGCGCAUGAUGUUAAGAUUAAGUAAGUUCAUAAAAAUAGUCCUAACAUAACUAAAAAGUUAUUGGUGAUGUUAAGAAUCUAGAUAACGUUAUAUUGUUUAUAAAUACGAGUAAUCAGUAAAUGAGAAGUUAGUGAAGAAUUUAUUGAAAUGGUAUUGAGUAGUGAUUGAACAUUCAGUAAAACAUUCAAUGUGUGAAAGGUUAAGUAGUUGUUGAUCGAGAGAACACUGAUGGAGUAAAGUUUUAUCAAUUGCCAGAACAAUUGAAGAUCAUGGUGGAGAGAUGCCACCUUGGCUGAAAAUGCUGGCCAAAGAGCCCAGCUAAUGUUCAGCCUUUUCUUCACUUGAUUAGUGAAACAGAUGCUGGAUGUCAAGCUCGAGGUUCACCAAUGUUGGAUAAUUAUGGCAGCACUCAGGAACUUAGUUGCCAUUAAACUACAAUACCACUCACCAGUAACUGGUGGAAAUGCUAAUACAAAUGUUGAGAGACCAUUCUACCUACAGACCUGUUGAAAAUUCAUCAGUUUACAUCACUGCCGUCAACCCACUACCCCUGCCCGUUGAGAAGUUCAGCAGUUUACAGGUUACACACCAGCCAAACUUCACUUGGGACAGACUGAUGAAAUACCUCAAUCUAUAGAUGAACAAACAGCAGAAUUACAAGAUGUCAUACAGAAGGCAAAUUCCAAUGUUGAAAAGGCUCAGAAGUGACACCAACAAGCUUACAACCCAAAAAAGAUACCCAGACAUCUUUAAAGUGAUGUCUCUUUUUACCUGCACAGAUGUUUCAGCACUGUGUGUGUAAAAUCCAGGUUGAAUGGUUUUACAUUGAAAUAUCCUAGGAUGGCCAAUUAUUGCAGGUGUAUCUGUCUGAUACUUGUCAGGAGACUGGUUUUAUCUGAAAAUACCAUGUUAGCAUGCAGGAUUUAUGAGAAGACAGAGAACAGAACUAAGAAACUUUUAUUUCUCUUUUUGUUAAUGUUGUUUUCUUGAUGAUGUAUAAUUAUAGGAAUUCUGAUAGUACUUACAGGAUUGAAUAUACUCCUAGGCAAAGUUUGUUAUAUCUGAGAAUUAUCCUGGGGUUGUAACAAUUUCUAAUUUUGUUGUAUUCUCAGAAGAAACUGACAUGUGAGAAUUAAUUGUAGAAACAGGAACAUUUUGAAGUUUUUUGUAAAGUGUGAAUAAAACAAACUCGACAAAAGAGA